AGCAAAAAUCAUUCAUUCCUGUGUUGAUUGCAAAAGUUUUAAACCAUAUUCUUCACAUAAAAUAGUAAAUUGGAAAUGAAUGAAAAGGAAACACCCAAGAAGCUCAAGGUGGCGUUUUACAUAUAAACAUUACUCAAUGGACUACGAAGGAGACUUUACAAUUGGUAACAAAUAUGUGUACUUCCAUGAUGUCGAUAUUAAAGGUACUAGUACUGUAAUCCAGAAAUUCGGGAUAGAGAGGAUCUAGGGGGACUCUCACGUAUGGAUUUAUGAUUAUGUCACCUCAAUGGUCCAUGCUCUAGAUGGCCGGAAACGACUUAACUCAAGACAGACAAUGUUUACUGUAUUUAAAUUGGACCUCAUUGGAAAUGGGCUGGAAUCCGACCUAAUGGACGUUCCUGAUGCUCAUUACGUGAUGUAGACAAAGAAGCCACAACUAUCAGGAAAGAAUGUCCGGACUCAAUCGUGAAAGGGCAACAGAACUUACCAAUUAUUUGUAGAUAGCCAAAAAUUGUACGUGUAACUCAUCAAGCUUCCUGAAAGAAUUCUGGAUAUGAAAUUGAUUAAAAUAUAGUGUAAAUUCUAUUUUUUAAAUGUUUUCUUCUGCAAUAAUCUCAAAAAUAAUGUUAGCAAUAUGUAGUAGGCCUAAUUCUUAUGUUUAUUAAUAUUGUACUAUUACUGCUAAUAUUUAUCUUAUUAAUAGAGAAAGUAACCCGUUUGUUGUAAAGAAUAUAGACAUGUAAGAUAAUAAGAUAUAACAUUUCCAGGAUUAAAAUCAGAUUUAUUGAUA
Molecule: long non-coding RNA, 790 nt
Organism: Anneissia japonica
Lineage: Eukaryota; Metazoa; Echinodermata; Crinoidea; Comatulida; Comatulidae
Exons: 5
Source: RefSeq, a predicted model, not a curated record